Molecule: long non-coding RNA, 396 nt
Filed under: Zostera marina
Lineage: Eukaryota; Viridiplantae; Streptophyta; Magnoliopsida; Alismatales; Zosteraceae
Description: long non-coding RNA (ZMAR_LNC002065)
Source: RNAcentral
UCUUUCUAUGCGGUGGGAAUGCCGGUUGCAGUUCUGUUGGGUUUCUGGGUGAAAAUGGACUUCGUGGGUCUAUGGAUUGGUCUGUUGGCCGCACAAGCAACGUGUGUGGUCACGAUGCUCACUGUCAUAUUACGCACGGAUUGGGCCCUGCAGGCACAAAGGGCGCAGAACCUUAUAACUGGUGCUGCCGUCAACGAUGAUGACUACCCCAAAAAUACGAUCAUCAAAUUGGUGAAUAAAACCCAACAACAAAACUUACAACCAGAAUCGACGCACACCUGUGAUGAGGAAACUACUAAUUUGCUACUUCAAAUCAAGAUCGAACAACCACCGAUUGUCGUGGGAUGACUCUUGAUUUCCGAUCGACAUAACUACGCCAUCGAUAGCCAAUAUUCU